RNAcentral lists this unclassified non-coding RNA (237 nucleotides) under uncultured fungus. RNAcentral describes it as "partial contains 5.8S ribosomal RNA, internal transcribed spacer 2, and large subunit ribosomal RNA". The stretch from base 1 to 52 matches the Rfam family "5.8S ribosomal RNA", at positions 103 to 154 of the family's 154-position model. Lineage: Eukaryota; Fungi. The record is from RNAcentral.
AACGCACAUUGCGCCCCUCGGUAUUCCGGGGGGCAUGCCUGUUCGAGCGUCAUUUCACCACUCAAGCCUCGCUUGUCAUUGGGCGCUGCGGUUCGCCGCACGCCCCAAUGUCUCCGGCUGAGCCGCCCGUCUCAAAGCGUUGUGGCAACUAUCCGCUUCUGGGACCGGGCGACCCGGCCGUUAAACACCCCACACAAGGUUGACCUCGGAUCAGGUAGGGGUACCCGCUGAACUUAA